UCCUUAUUUUGCAUACUCUCUCACCGGUCAGACGGACGAGAGAGCAUGUAAAAUGAGGAGA
Pristionchus pacificus is the source of this 61-nucleotide non-coding RNA. The record is from Rfam. Lineage: Eukaryota; Metazoa; Nematoda; Chromadorea; Rhabditida; Neodiplogasteridae.